RNAcentral lists this transfer RNA (61 nucleotides) under Benedenia seriolae. Its description in RNAcentral is "tRNA-Gln". The record is from RNAcentral. Lineage: Eukaryota; Metazoa; Platyhelminthes; Monogenea; Capsalidea; Capsalidae.
UAUAGUAUAGUGUUUUAGCAUAUUGUAUUUUGGUUACAAAGGAGAUUAGUUUCUAUUAUAU